Molecule: long non-coding RNA, 2432 nt
Organism: Homo sapiens (human)
Lineage: Eukaryota; Metazoa; Chordata; Mammalia; Primates; Hominidae
Source: Ensembl
ACCUAGACAGAUCUCAAAAAUGGGAGACCACAUGCAAAGGAAACUACGUUUUCACAACACAUGGUUGGAGAGGUCAAAGAAAAUGUGAUGUAUUACUUUCAGUUUUAUCAUCAGCGGGACCAUCUGGGGCUAGUGGUGGGGCUCGAAGAAGGAAGAAGAAAAUAAAGAAGAGAAUCAGAUCCCCAAAGUAGAGAGACUGAAUUACAGCAAUGACCUCGACUUGCAUUUACUAGGAUGAGCUGUUGUGAGAGUAAAUAUGAAAGCUGGAAUUCAUAAUUCAUUCAACCUGUGUUUCAUCCACUUACCCCAAACCAAAACAUAACAAUCAUUGAGCAUCCACCAUUCACAUGUAACUGUGGUGGAGAGAGAGAUGAAAAAACACAAUGCCUAACCUCAAGGAGUUUACACACUACUCAGAGAGAUAAAUACCAUAGACAAAUAAUUAUACUAUACUGUAAGGCUACUUGGGCUAAACCUAUACCAAAAUCACAAGGACAUUGAGGCUCAGUAAGGUGAGAUGACUUGCUCCAGAUCACACAGGGUUGAAGCUGAAAUUUUAAUCUAGAGUCCAGUUCCAGAAUCUGUGCUUAUAAACUGUGCUGUGCUGUAUUUGCUUUAAGAAUAUAAGGGUCAUUUCCUGCUUGAAUAAUCAAGGAAGGCAUGAUGGAAAAGUUAGGGGCAUCAUAAAACCCAAAGACAAUUCUGAUCAUAUUUUUACUUCAACACUUCUACAGGAAAGAAAGCCUUCCCAUCACUAAUAGUGAGUUCUCUGGCAGCAAGCCUCAGUCAUUGCAGCAGGAAUACUGCUUAAAUAUUAUACUGGUAUGUGUGGGGUAAUUUGAAGUCUACCAUCCAUCACCAUCACCACCAAACCUAAUGUAUGAGUUGCCUAUUCCUUCCCGGGAUAGCACACUGCACUACUGAGGAUCACUGUUCUAUGGAAGUAGUUUUCAAACUUGAGCAUGCAUAAAAAGAAGAGCGAAGAGGCUUGUUAAAUACAGCUCUCUUUCAGCAGGUCUGGGGUACUUACUACUAAUGAGCAGUUUUUAGGAAGCAUCCUAGAUGAUUCCGUGUAUCCAGGUGGGCCACAGAAACAUUUGCAAAAACAUUACAUCGGAGCCAUUGUUGACUAUCCCUAAUCUGUAAGAAGCCAAUAGUCAUCGAGACCCAAUGGAGCAAUGCAGCAGAAUGGGGGAAGCCCAGGGGGCAGAGUGAGGGCAUCACCAGGUGAGGAAAAGCAAGAUGGUAAGGCAGAAGGGAAUGGGGAAACCCAAACAAUGAAGAAAUAGAUAUCAUCUAUAUAUCUAUAUCUUUCAAUUUAUCUAUAUAUCCGAUUACCAACUUCAUCAGGAAAACCUAUUUCAGUUUGGUGAAUGGAAAGGGAACCAGCCAAAAAAUAGUUAUUAUUUUCAUACAUCUUAGUAUUUUAUUUUCCUAAGGACUAUCCUCAUGAAAUAUAUACAUACAUUAUACAUUUACACAUAUGCAUAUACAUAUUUGAGAAUACACACACUUUGGCUUCUUAGGCCAUCUUAGCUUUAUUUUAAAUAUAAAGAAACUGGUGCUGAUUCUGCAUAUCAUAUAUAUUUGACUAUACUUCUAUAAAGCAGAAGUCAAGAGCCAUGAUUAUUGUGCAACAGUAUCUGCACAAUUAGAAUAUUAGCAAUAGCACAGUUUUACUUUUGUUUUACAGUUUUCGAACUAUAAAUCAAGUAUGAAUGGCUGAUGGAAAGCCGAGGCUAGCAAAUAGAUGAUAAACCAUGUUACCAUGGGAGGUACAGAUUCAUUUUUAAUUUUAGUUUCUAUGUUAUCCCCAAGCAGCUUUUUUGUAUAUUGAUACGGAAAAUAAUGCCAUCUAUAUGCUGCACAACAGAAGUGUUGAUUUGUUUCUGUACCCCUUGGCUUGCAUCCCUGUUGUCAUCACCCAGCUGAUAUCAUUGUGACAUUUUGACAUUGCCUUGUGACACAGUGACCUGGUGCUUCCAGGAGCCUAGAAGGACAAGUUGACUAAGACACAUGGUGCAUUAGGAAGCAAUGAAGCAAUUCAUUACGGCUACAGAGAGAGUCUGCUCUGGAGACAAGAAUUCUUAUCUAAAGCACAAAAUACUCUCGAUUCUAUUUGCUGUUCUGCUACUGAUUUACUAUGAGAUCUGUAACAAAUAAUCUCAAUUCAUUUGUAACUUAGAUUUCCGUCUGUAAAAUGGAAAUGACCCAACAUAUGUGAUUUUUUUAAAAUCCUAGGGCAGUGAUUGCAUUUGCAACCCAUUCUUGCCAAAGAGAAAUUCGGAAGCACACUUCAAGGAACUAAGUUCAGUGAUAAUCACACUUGAUUGAUUUUCAGUACUGUCACAGUUUGAGAACUAUUUAUUGCCCUGAUUUGCUCUUUUCUCUGCCCUGUAUUAAAGAUCUUGCAUGACAGUUGAUCCAUGAAA